RNAcentral lists this long non-coding RNA (3595 nucleotides) under Triticum aestivum (bread wheat). Its description in RNAcentral is "long non-coding RNA (TAES_LNC005843)". The record is from RNAcentral. Lineage: Eukaryota; Viridiplantae; Streptophyta; Magnoliopsida; Poales; Poaceae.
CGCCUUGACGAAGCAAAACUCUGGUGAGGUAAGGGGAAAAGAAAAUAAGAAACAGGGCUUAUGGCCCUCCUUCAACACAAGGUAUGUCUUAGCAUGUAACAAUAUUAUACCCAAUGAAAAAGAAACUGUGAAUUAACGGGUCCCUACAUUUAUUUAUGAUAAAGUAUGUUUAGUAUGUCUUCCCCCAAAACCGACAGAUCUCAAGUCACGUCUUAGUCUAAGUGUUUACAAUAAAUUAUGUUCAAAAAUCCGUCCCUUAAAACCGACAGAGCUCAAGUCACAUUUUAGUAUAAUAUAUUUACAUAUGUUCACAAUCCCCUUCAUCACAUCUUAAUGUCAAUUGGUGAAGGCGGCGGAGAUUUCCAAGGUCCACUCUUGUUCUGCAUGUAAACAAAAGCCACAACAUCAACAAUGCGUGAAGAUCUCUGAAAUAGCAAAAUAAAAUCUUUAUUGAAAUAGCAAAAUCUAUAAUGCAUGAACAUGUUAUUCGCUCUUUACUUGUUAAGCCAUUAUAGCUGUUUGGUUACAAAGACGUAGGACAGUGAUAAAGUAGUAGGCAUUGCCUCAACCACCAAAUGAUUUAAGUGGAGAACAUAUAUGCAAACAAGAUAUCGAUAUUUAUGAUUUCUAGGUGCAUUAGUAAUAGUGCAUACCAAGAUGUGAACAUCUGAUGUGCCUUAGAUUGACAGAUACUUUGUGCCAAAGUAAUUUUGAAAUGUCAAUUACCUUGCUACUAAUAUCUAUGGUUAUAGCAGAAGUGUGAGACACCUUCUUGGCAGCUCGCACAGGGUAGAAGUAUGCAUCAGCCUGAAAAAUGUACAGUUAAUCACAAAUUCUUUCUGGCAAAAGAUUGGUAACCUUGCUGCACUAGGAGCCAACUCAGACUUCUCCAAAAAUAUGCAGUGCAGCAAGGAUUUAUCACAAAAGACACCACCAAGUUAAAUCAUCGGUGAGUUAGGUGAAAAAACAAGUGUUUCAGAAAGAACAGAAAAGGCUUCAACCAUUCUUUAGUUUUAUAUCAUGGUUUAUUCAGGUGGCUAGCCAGGUGAUAUUCUAGAAGGCACACCAAUAGAGAGAAAUUGCUGGAGACAACGGAAAUUAGCGCACAGGGUAAUUCAAGAGAAUAGGCUAGUAAGUGGCAUUGAUGUUCCAUGAGUUCUUCACCAGAUGGACGCAUUGUUGUUUGUUGAGCAAGGGUAGCCCAAUAGAGUUUACGCAUCGCUCAGCAGUGAUCCGCAACCUUAACCAUACCCAACCAAUGCAGCACCUGGAGACUGAGAGCUGAUGGGUGUGACGGGUACAAAAUGCAACAUAAAAGCACCAAAUUUUGCUUAAACUACAAUGCAAAUAUUUCGACCCCCGAAACUACAAAACCUGCUAGUUCUAACCCCUUCAUUAUCUCUCUAGAUGAGACACAUUAAACCUGUCGGUGUUUUUGGGCGUUUGGCCAUAUUGGAUGAAGUGGACACAUAGAGACCACUCAGCAAAUCAAACACAACGGAAAUUCGUUACUGAAUGACCCCACAAUAUCCCCUCCCUCUGUCCGCCUCCCUCUUCAUCCAUUCCCCUCCUCCUCCCAGAAAUUCACACCAUAUAACAUCAAGCCACGGCAUGGGACCUAACGAUUCUCGGAUCUUUCCCGCAAAAAAGAAAAAAACGAUUAUCGGAUCUAGCAACCAAACCAAAAGCCCUUAAGAACAAAUCAGGUCUAGGGUUAUACCGGCGACUGGCCGCCGCCUGCCCCUCCUGCCUUCACCGCUUCCUCCGCCCGCCUCUCCUGCCAGUCCCCCGCCGCGCCACCUGCCUCCCCGGCCUGCAGCGCUUCCUCCGCCUGCUUCGCCGCAACGCGUGUCGCCGACGCCACCAUGGUUCUAGCCCUUCCUAGGGUUCUGCGAGACGCGGUGUGGGGUGUGGGUGUGUGCGUGCGCGUGUGUGUCUUUCUUUUUUUAGGAUUUGGGAUGAUCCCACAUUUCAGUGGCGUAGCCAGGCCCCAGGUCGCCCGGGUCGUGGCGCCCGAUCUCUUUGUUGACUGUAGAGUCGUCGACAUUACUUUGUUUUUCUAGGAUUUGGGAGAUGAUCUCACGUUUCAUGCACAGGAUGAUGUAUGUUUUUUUCCUAGAUUGCUUUCUGAUACGGGUUUGGGGGAAGGUAAUGCUGGGCCGGAGGCCUGUGUUGUUCCACGAAAAGAAGAAGAAAAGAGUUGUUCCAGAACGAGAAGUCACCGAAAACGAGCAGAAGGAGGGCCAAAAGAACAAUGUUGUUUCUCAAAAAAAAAACAAUGUUGUUGCCUGCAGGCAGAGCAGGCCCAUGGUAAAAGCGAGCAUUGUAGCCCGCCUGAACAGGCAGUAAGCCCAUUGGAAAUGCCGGUACUGCAGCCUGGUCGGAAGCACCCGAAAAACGAGCAGGAGGAGUCUUCAGGAAGAGCAGGCCGUAGGCCCAUUAGAAAGGCCGGCGAUGCAGCCCGGUCGAACUAAUUUUCGAAAGUCUCUCAAAAAAAUAAUUUUCGAAAUUCGACUAAAAAACUAAUUUUCGAAACAAAACUCAGUUUGAAAAUAUUUUCGAAAAAAAAAUUUACCUGUGCAUCGCCUGAUGGAACUACGUACCCUCCGGGGCUGCCAUGAACCGAACUGGCAGGUGCUUGUUAAGUUGCUACCCUUCGUCUCUCUCUCUUUUUUUUUUUUUGAACUUCCCUUCGUCUCUCUCGUUGCCUGGAGCUGUAGCUGGUGGCUAUGGUUGUUAGCUGGCGUUGAUUGUUGAAGAAGCUAUGGAGGUUCUCUCUGCUGAAGCUAGGUACAGCUGCAACGCUAACGUUCAUAGCGUGGAUGACAACGCCUCCGCCUGACGGCCUGAAGAGCACGCCGGCUGUUCCUUUGGUAGCAGGGGCGGAGCUUUUGAGCAUGAAUCUAGGAAGGGGCCAACAAAACUUUAAACAUGUACAGAGAGUGUUUACAAACAAAUAAUCAGUGCGUUCGGAUGCUCACCUUUCAGCUACGGGGGCACUCCCCGCUGGCGAGGCUGCAUACGCCUCCGCCUCCUCGCCCACCUCCGGUGUAGCGAGGUAUAGGAGAGAUGCCAUGACCAACGGCAGCACGACCUGAAGGAGGCCGCCGGGUGGAGGCGUGAGGAGGAGGAGGAGGAGGAGGCGCGAGGGAAGCAAGGGCUCGAGCAGCUACGGCAGCGGGAGAGCUUUGCAGGCGACGAGUUGCCAUGGUGGUACCUAGAGGAAGGAGGAGGGGUAGCUAGUUAGCUACCCAAGAGCAAAUGCUUCAGCUGCACAUAUAUACUAUAACUCAGGCGUACGCUGUCAACCACUGCGGAGUUCCAGUGAACGUUUCUAGGCUCGAGCCGACUCCAAGCUAGUCUUUGAGAUUGACGUUAAGCUCGAGCUCGAGCUCAGCGCAGCAUAGUGGUGACUAAUGAAUGUUAGCGAGUUGGACGAUGCGCAUGCGACAGCGACACAACGAAAACGACUCAUUGUAGUAGUACCUGAUGCGGCUCGCGUUCGCAUUCGUGCUCGGGUUAGGACCAUGCUCAUGCCUGCUUUGUGCUCUUGGAUAACCGGAGAGCCGAGCCACCGGCGGCAAUGGCAAACGGC